RNAcentral lists this ribosomal RNA (104 nucleotides) under human gut metagenome. The record is from RNAcentral.
UGAUGAUGUCAAGGGUACACCCGUUCCCAUCUCGAACACGGUAGUUAAGCUUGGCGAUGCCGAAGAUACUUGGUUGGUAACGACCUGGGAAAAUAGGAAAGUGC